AUGAGUCGCUUCUUUGUGUUUGAAUUGUUGGAAAUGUGUCCUAUGCAUCCUUGCUCAGAGAUUAUGAACUUUACCAUGAGCUCUGGCCUUAGUUCAAGCCAGGAAAACUUAAAGAGUGAUUUGGCUGGUAGAUUUUUAUUGUACUCAGUUAAGAAGAUGAAUCAGCACUAUUUUAUAGACGAACUUCUUACAUUAAGCUCUCAUUUAUGCCAGGUAAAGAAGGAAAAAGAAUCUUUUAAAAAGAAGGCAGAAAUUGCAAGAGAGAAUUAUUCUGAUUAUCAUUUAAGAAUAUUAUCAUCUUUCAAAAGUCUUUUUUCCAACAGGCUAAAUGUGUCUCACAGUCCCACUUGCUGUCUGAAUCUGCCUUCUGAAACCUUGCUCAUCUGCUCAUCACCAAAUCCAGCGAUAUCUUCUCGACCUUCUUGCUUCACAGUUCGCACUGAUGACCACUCCUCCUUGAAAUUUUCUUCCUUAGAACUUGUGACAUAAGGGUGCCCCCUCCAUUUCAGCAUCUCUGGUUCUUUCAUAAUCUCUCCUGCUUUGUAAACGUAAGCGGCUCAUAGGGUGUCGCUGUUGCUGUUGUAUGUGCUGAUGGAGUGGAAUGGCACUUUUUUUAAAACUUCGAUCUUCUUUUCUCUCAACAAUCUUUUAGUAAUAACAUCUGUCACUGCCCCUGGGUCCACCAUUAUCCAUAGGUACUUUCUUAAUUGGUUCUUUUCUUUAUAUGAGGAAGCUACCUCAUAUAAUAUCUCAACAUCUGAAAAUCCUACCAGUAUUUUAUACUCAGUAAUCUAAAAUUUACUCAUUGUUUUGCUUGCCAAAUAACCUCCUUCGAAAAUCUUUGCUAUCUCCAGUUAAUGGUGUCUUCUGUCUCCUACUUAUCCAACUUGAAGUCAAUUCUUAAUAUUUAAUCUCGUUUGCUUCCCUUCCCUUUCUAACCACUUGAUAAGAAAUGUGGCUCCUUAUACCUUUUUUUUUUUUUUUUUUUUUUUUUUUUGGUUUCAUUUCAUCCCCUCUACUUCUACCAGUGAAAAAUUUUCCCACAUAGAUGGAACUGAGUGUAAACUAGUCUCACCCUUUGAUUUUUCGUUUCUUGUGAGAUCUAGUAUUGCACCUCCCAUAGUAUAAGGGUUCAACAAAUAUUUAGAAAAUUAAUUAAAUAAGGCAAUGAGUUUUUAAAUUUUCAGCAAGAAGGAAACUGCAUAAAAGUCACAGCAAAGAAAACACUGAGUUUUCAAAAGCCUAGAACUUAAAUUGAGAAGGAA
RNAcentral lists this long non-coding RNA (1265 nucleotides) under Fukomys damarensis (Damara mole-rat). RNAcentral describes it as "lncRNA (ENSFDAG00000023914.1)". Lineage: Eukaryota; Metazoa; Chordata; Mammalia; Rodentia; Bathyergidae. The record is from RNAcentral.